AAGUCGUAACAAGGUUUCCGUAGGUGAACCUGCGGAAGGAUCAUUAAUGAGAACGUGCCCUUCGGGGUAGAUCUCCCACCCUUUGUUUUUGUCACCCUGUUGCUUUGGUAGGCCCGUCUCGCGACCGCCGGCUUUGGCUGGCCCGUGCCUGCCAGAGGACCCCAAACUCUUAAUGUUAUUGUCGUCUGAGUACUAUAUAAUAGUUAAAA
Molecule: unclassified non-coding RNA, 209 nt
Filed under: plant metagenome
Description: partial contains small subunit ribosomal RNA and internal transcribed spacer 1
Rfam family: Eukaryotic small subunit ribosomal RNA (bases 1-46)
Source: RNAcentral